RNAcentral lists this ribosomal RNA (427 nucleotides) under uncultured Sporolactobacillaceae bacterium. RNAcentral describes it as "partial 16S ribosomal RNA". It matches the Rfam family "Bacterial small subunit ribosomal RNA", at positions 355 to 774 of the family's 1533-position model. The record is from RNAcentral. RNAcentral also lists the same sequence under 1 other name. Lineage: Bacteria; Bacillati; Bacillota; Bacilli; Caryophanales; Sporolactobacillaceae.
UAGGGAAUCUUCGGCAAUGGACGAAAGUCUGACCGAGCAACGCCGCGUGAGCGAUGAAGGUCUUCGGAUCGUAAAGCUCUGUUGUCAGAGAAGAACACGUGAUAGAGGAAAUGCUAUCACCUUGACGGUAUCUGACCAGAAAGCCCCGGCUAACUACGUGCCAGCAGCCGCGGUAAUACGUAGGGGGCAAGCGUUGUCCGGAAUUAUUGGGCGUAAAGCGCGCGCAGGCGGCUUCUUAAGUCUGAUGUGAAAGCCCACGGCUCAACCGUGGAGGGUCAUUGGAAACUGGGAAGCUUGAGUGCAGAAGAGGAGAGUGGAAUUCCACGUGUAGCGGUGAAAUGCGUAGAUAUGUGGAGGAACACCAGUGGCGAAAGCGGCUCUCUGGUCUGUAACUGACGCUGAGGCGCGAAAGCGUGGGGAGCAAACA